Molecule: non-coding RNA, 1457 nt
Organism: Micropterus salmoides (largemouth bass)
Lineage: Eukaryota; Metazoa; Chordata; Actinopteri; Centrarchiformes; Centrarchidae
Source: the annotation of a RefSeq genome assembly
AUGACUUUGAUCUGCGUCCUCAUCUGGACUCUCCUCUGCUGCUGCUUCACAGAGUCCAGAGGCCAGGUCACAGUGACUCAGCCUGGAGCAAUGCGCUCUGCUCUGGGAGGCUCCGUCUCCAUCAGAUGUAGGACCAGUCAGGAUGUUCUUGUCUAUAACAACAACCACCUUUUAGCCUGGUACCAACAGAGAGAUGGAGAAACUCCUAAACUCCUCAUUUACUAUGCUAGCACUCGAGCAUCAGGGAUUCCAGGUCGUUUUACAGGCAGUGGAUCAAACUCUGACUUCACUCUGACCAUCAGUGGAGUCCAGACUGAAGAUGCAGCAGUUUACUACUGUCAGAGUGUUCAUAACAUCAACAGUCAGUGGUUGUUCACGUUCGGUGGAGGAACCAGACUGGAUGUUGGAAGUGAUGUCCGUCCCACCCUGACGGUGCUGCCCCCCUCCAGUGAGGAGCUGCAGCAGGGGAAGGCCACGCUCAUGUGCCUGGCCAACAAGGGCUUCCCCUCAGACUGGAGUCUGGCCUGGAAGGUGGACGGCAGCAGCAGCAGCAGCAGCUGGGAGGAGAGCAGGAGCCCCGGGGUGCUGGAGAAGGACGGCCGCUACAGCUGGAGCAGCACCCUGAGGCUCCCUGCAGACCAGUGGAGGAAGGUGGGCUCUGUGACCUGUGAGGCCACCCAGGGCUCCCAGGCUCUGGUCUCAGAGACACUGAGGAGAGACCAGUGUUCCCAGUCCUGACCUGACUCACUGGGACUCUGCUACUGGUUUUACUCUGCUCUCUGAACUCUGUAACUCUCUCUGUGUCUGUGUCUCUUUCUUUCCUUAAGUCAUUCUCUAAUCACAUGUUUCAUGGUUAAAGUUUCUUUACUGGAUUUAAUUUUGAUUAUUUCUACACAAUAAAGACCAGUUCAUCAAAUCAGUUGUUUUCAUUUCUGUUAUACUGAAAGUAACAGUGGGUAGAGGUCGCGCCCCAUGAACAAGGUUGACUCCUUACUGCAGCAGCCUGGGUUUGAAUCUCACCUGAUCAUCAUAGUUUCAGUAUCUGCAGUGUGAUUCUUCACAGAGUCAGUGAGCUGUAGCUGUCCUCAACAUAUCAUGGUGUUUCCCCCUCAGUGCUGAGAGCGUUGAUCUACAUAUUUACAUGAAGAGGAUACUAAAAAUCUGGUAAUAAACUGUUUCAGUGAUUUUGUUUUUCAUUCCAAUGUGGAAAAUUAGUUUAAUAUGGUCUGCUGACAAUGAAUAGUGACGUUAUUUUAAUGCGCAUUGACGACAGAUUUGGUUGUAUAUAAUAUCCAGAUUUUCUCAAAUAAAGAAAUGACAAGUCAAGAGCGGAGGCUGAAGCUGGUAUAUGGUAUACGUCUGUCUCCUUCUUUCCUUCUGUCACUCUCUAAUCACGUUUCAUGGAUAAAGUUUGUUUACUUGAUUGUUAUUUCUACACAAUAAAGACCAGUUCAUGA